Molecule: non-coding RNA, 27 nt
Filed under: Homo sapiens (human)
Lineage: Eukaryota; Metazoa; Chordata; Mammalia; Primates; Hominidae
Source: RNAcentral
UGUGAGGAAUCUGUCUAUAUUGGUGCU